This 329-nucleotide unclassified non-coding RNA is filed under the name soil metagenome. RNAcentral describes it as "partial contains 5.8S ribosomal RNA, internal transcribed spacer 2, and large subunit ribosomal RNA". The stretch from base 1 to 120 matches the Rfam family "5.8S ribosomal RNA", at positions 35 to 154 of the family's 154-position model. The record is from RNAcentral.
GAUGAAGAACGUAGUGAAAUGCGAUAAGUAGUGUGAAUUGCAGAAUUCAGUGAAUCAUCGAAUCUUUGAACGCACAUUGCGCCCCUUGGUAUCCCGAGGGGCAUGCCUGUUCGAGCGUCAUUUCACCACUCAAGCCUGGCUUGGUGUUGGGCGACGUCCUCUUUGGGGACGCGCCUCGAAACGCUCGGCGGCGUGGCACCGGCUUUAAGCGUAGCAGAAUCUUUCGCUUUGGAAGUCGGGGCCCCGUCUGCCGGAAGACCUGCUCGCAAGGUUGACCUCGGAUCAGGCAGGGAUACCCGCUCAACUUAAGCAUAUCAAUAAGCGGAGGA